Molecule: ribosomal RNA, 253 nt
Filed under: uncultured bacterium
Lineage: Bacteria
Description: partial 16S ribosomal RNA
Rfam family: Bacterial small subunit ribosomal RNA
Source: RNAcentral
UACGAAGGGUGCAAGCGUUACUCGGAAUUACUGGGCGUAAAGGGCUCGUAGGCGGCCAACUAAGUCGGAUGUGAAAUCCCCAGGCUCAACCUGGGAACUGCAUCCGAUACUGGAUGGCUUGAAUCCGGGAGAGGGAUGCAGAAUUCCAGGUGUAGCGGUGAAAUGCGUAGAUAUCUGGAGGAAUACCGGUGGCGAAGGCGGCAUCCUGGACCGGCAUUGACGCUGAGGAGCGAAAGCUAGGGGAGCAAACGGG